Gymnodraco acuticeps is the source of this 1022-nucleotide long non-coding RNA. RefSeq lists it as uncharacterized. The record is from RefSeq and is a predicted model, not a curated record. NCBI's taxonomy places the organism in Eukaryota, Metazoa, Chordata, Actinopteri, Perciformes, Bathydraconidae. The transcript is spliced from 2 exons.
GGAAAGAAAGGAAAUGGUGUGUUGGACCAUGACUGUUCAGAUGGUUUGGACUCAGUUCUGCAUGAUUACAUACAGGGAUUGCCUGUGCUUCUGAGCCGCAGUCCCACUUCCUCCAGGCCAUUUCCUUCAAACUCUGCAGGACUACUUCUCCAUCCAUCCACCUGACUCCCAUCUCAACCUGCACACCUGUUCCUCAUUCCACAGUUACCCCACAGUAUUCAUACCAGACCAUUUCCAUCUGCUAUUUACCAGAUUGUCAAUGUUUCUUUGUGCAUUUAGUUUACAGACACCUGGACCCUGGACCCAAAUUCUGAUUGGUCUGAUAGGUCUGCCUUUCAUGCAAGAGAUCUAAAGUUUCAUCCCAUUACAGACCCGCACCUUAAAGAGGAUAUAUAUAUACAGUUCAUUUUCAGGUUUCAUAUUUGUAUUUUGUGCCUCUACUGUGACAUGUGCCCAUGAUUUAAUGUUAUGAAAUCAUUGUUUUCAUACUGCCUGUGCUAAAGGACCUCCUUUUACCCUCUGUCUGAAACCAUAAUAAUAACACGCUAAACUAAGAUAGUGAACAUAGAAAACAUCAUGAUAGACUUAAUGUUAGCAUUUACCUAAAAUGCCUGGUGCCUAUGCGUCACCAAGAUGCUAGCAUGACUGCAGACUCUAAAAACUAAACACGUUUUAUUUCAUGAUAAUUAAAGUAAAAGAUUGUGAACUGAGUAAUAUUCAGGCAAUUUGAGAGCAGGGUUGUUGUUGUUGUUGUUGUUGCUGCAGUAGAUUAAUCUCAUUGACUAAAGACAUGUGCUCAUGUAUCUGCCACCUGUGUGUGAUCUGCUGCUGACAUUAAGCGUGUUAAUAGCAUUUAUUCUUCUGUAUUAAUCGGUGCAAAGUUCCACAUUUCUAUUCUGUUUAUGAUUGUACACAGAAUGUUUUUUACCUUUUUUAAUUUAGAAAACGCAAUAAUUUGAAGGCCUCAAGGGCACUUUGAGAUAAAAGAAAACAAGGAGUUAACCAAUAAAUGAAUCACUGUU